RNAcentral lists this ribosomal RNA (460 nucleotides) under uncultured bacterium. Its description in RNAcentral is "partial 16S ribosomal RNA". It matches the Rfam family "Bacterial small subunit ribosomal RNA", at positions 338 to 795 of the family's 1533-position model. The record is from RNAcentral.
CCUACGGGAGGCUGCAGUGAGGAAUAUUGGUCAAUGGACGAGAGUCUGAACCAGCCAAGCAGCGUGAAGGAUGACUGCCCUAUGGGUUGUAAACUUCUUUUAUAUGGGAGUAAAUCGUUCCUUGUGUGGGAUUUUGUAUGUACCAUCUGAAUAAGGAUCGGCUAACUCCGUGCCAGCAGCCGAGGUAUUACGGAGGAUACGAGCGUUAUCCGGAUUUAUUGGGUUUAAAGGGAGCGUAGGUGGAUUGUUAAGUCAGUAGUGAAAGUUUGCGGCUCAACCGUCAAAUUGCAGUUGAAACUGGCAGUCUUGAGUACAGGAGAGGUAGGCGGAAUUCGUGGUGUAGCGGUGAAAUGCGUAGAUAUCGCGAGGAACACCGGUGGCGAAGGCGGCUCACUGGACUGCAACUGACACUGAGGCUCGAAAGUGUGGGGAGCAAACAGGAUUAGAUACCCGAGUAGUC